UACGGAGGGUGCGAGCGUUAAUCGGAAUUACUGGGCGUAAAGGGUGCGUAGGUGGUUUGAUAAGUUAGUUGUGAAAUUCCUGGGCUCAACCUAGGCACUGCAACUAAAACUGUUGAACUCGAGUAUGGGAGAGGGCAGUGGAAUUUCCGGUGUAGCGGAGAAAUGCGUAGAGAUCGGAAGGAACACCAGUGGCGAAGGCGGCUGCCUGGCCUAAUACUGACACUGAGGCACGAAAGCGUGGGGAGCAAACGGG
RNAcentral lists this ribosomal RNA (253 nucleotides) under uncultured bacterium. RNAcentral describes it as "partial 16S ribosomal RNA". It matches the Rfam family "Bacterial small subunit ribosomal RNA", at positions 524 to 776 of the family's 1533-position model. The record is from RNAcentral.